Molecule: ribosomal RNA, 206 nt
Filed under: uncultured bacterium
Lineage: Bacteria
Description: partial 16S ribosomal RNA
Rfam family: Bacterial small subunit ribosomal RNA
Source: RNAcentral
UGCGUAGGCGGUGAUAUUAGUCGGGCGUAAAUCCUGGGGCUCAACCUCAGGCUCGCGUUCGAAACGGUAUCACUAGAAGACGUGAGAGGUUUAGAGAACUCUCGGUGUAGGGGUGAAAUCCGUUGAUAUCGAGGGGAAUACCAAAUGCGAAGGCACUAAACUGGCACGUUCUUGACGCUGAGGCACGAAAGCGUGGGUAGCGAACG